GUCCUGAACAAAACUGCCCGCACGAACCCACGACCUUCGCUACUCCUCCUCUGCUACCCACGCCUCCCGCAGAUCCCCCGCUCGGCCGCUCCCCGCAGAUCCUCUGCUGCCCCACGGACGCGACCGCGGACUGCCGCCGCCGAUGAUCCCAUCUGAUGGCGGCACCGACCCAUCCCUGGCACUGGAUGCGGUGACCUCCGGCAGAGGCGCGCCCGGCCACGCCUUCCCCAGCACAGUCUCGCCGGGCUGCCUCCGCUCCUCCGGCAGCGCCGCGCCCGUUCGCCGCAGCCCGCCGGCGAGGGCACAAUCGAUGCCGACCUGCACGCGCAAGGGGAGGCGGCAGGAGCAGUCGUGCAAGGGCAGGACCAGCCGUGCGGUCAAUCGAGCAAUCCUUUUGCAUCUUGGCCGCCAUGUCCCCCGCCGUCGACGACGCCCGCUGUGGCGAUCUCCGCCCUGGCGACCAGCUCUGCCUCGCCUGCCAAAUCAAAUUUACGAACUAAGGUUGAUUUCUAUGACUUCAGUUCGCUGGUGGUACUGGCAUAACGCUUAUGUUGCAGGCUUCUCCAGAAUGAUUCCUCAUAAGAGAUAUCUCAACCAGUCAUAAGUUAGCCUGAAGACAUAAGGUGCAGAUAUUCUUCCUUGGUAUAAGAGAUACUUUCAACUAAUCACACGUGCAAUGUUACAUUUGAGUAAGGGAUUACCAUAUUCUCUGAAUUUUCUACCCGACAGAUAUGUUCAACUAUAUUUAGAGUAUUCUGAUAAAGGGUUUACCCCCGCUUUAUAUUAUAAAGCAUCCGGAUAUUUAGAGUAUUAUACAUCUCUAAUCUGCAUAUUUGAGACCAACAUGAUAAUGUUCCAUACUUCUUAAGCCAUUUUGGUGCCACCUAUUGUACCAUCAUUUUUUGCUUCAGGUAUUGUCCUCAUUUCCAAACAAUUCCAUUGUCUUCGCUUCUCUACUCACAUGUGUUUUUUAGUCUUCCUCUCACUCUUUUGAGCUUCUAUAGAACUGAUGUCUGACUGCUAUGUUUACCCUUCUGAAUAAUACCCUUAUCAAGUUUUCAGCUUUUAAUGUAAAACUGUAACCAAUUACCGAAAUUUUGGAGUUCUUUUUCACCUUUUCUUGUCCGGUUGUGGAUAAAAAAAACUUAUGCUGAAUCAUUGCGUCUCCAGACGAGCAGUGCAGAUUUGAGAGUUAGGUUAUUUGUCAAAAGUUUUCCGUUUUAUCCAUACAAUAGUAAAAUUAGUUUUACAUAAUUUGAAUGUGUGCUCGCAUGAGCUUGUAAACUUCUCUCGUGUGUCCACACAAGGGCGGAGGGAAGAUUCUUUCUGUGAAGAAACCUAUUUUGUAUGAAGUUGUAGUUGAUUUUGUCGGACUGGGAAGUGAUGGAUGCACCAAGUAGGUGGUCUUUAUUUCUGGGAUUAGAAUUUUCAAAAGGACUGUUUCUUCUCACCUUGAUCUUGUGAUCUAAUGAAAUUUAUUCCUGAUUUUUAUCAGGGACACAACAGUGAAGAUGUUUUUGAAUUUCGUGUUGUAGCUAAAUGGUGAAGUUUUCAUGAAUUCAUGUUAUGAAUUGGUUCUCACUUUUUUUAUCAUAACCUUUUAUUAUCUCAUGAUUUAUUGAUUUUUUUGUUUUUUCUAUUGAUAUUUCUGUUUGCAAAACGAUUAUUAGAUAUUGGAGAAUUAACGAGGUAUGGCUACUGCCAAGCAUGCUUUCAGAAGUACACGACUCAAGAGAUUUUCUAUUUUGGCAGAAGUUGGUGUGCCUACUGACAAGUGUGCUCUGAAAAUUAGUCAAUUACUGCACCAGCUGGACUUAUAGAUCGGUUCACAAGGUUCUUUCUGGACAGUAGUAAUGGUUUUAAUACAUUUAAAACAUGUAUGGUUAUUUGAUUCAUGAACAAAACAAAUAUAUUCUCUUUUGAGCUUUGAGCAUUUCACAUAUGACCAUUGUACUGUUGCACUAUUACUACGACCUAUGUGAAAGGUAAAUAAACCUUUCAGCAACAUAUGUUGGUAUAAUUCUCUCCCAACUAGCAUUAUAUGCCAUAUAUAGUUGUUGUUUUUUACCGAAAUGUUAGGAGCCUCGUGUAUAAGGUAUGCAGAAAUUCUCACUUUGGGGAAGUGAUUAAUUCUUCAUGUGCAGUAACCUGGAGAGAUGGUGCUGGUGGAUUCUAGCCGCAAGUCGAAGACAUGCAGUUGCUUGCCGUCGAUGAAGCGACAUCAACAUGGGUAGCUGAUCCAGUCAUCUGUUAGUCUGUUCGUCUUUCUUCCUUGCACUUUGUUCUUCAGUCAUGUGUUGGGCAUCCUUCCCCAUGCUACUGACUCUAUGGUGUCGCUGGCCCAUGCUUCUGACUCUCCAGACAUAUACUCACUUGUUAGAAAUCCCAUGGCAAUUGCUUUCAUGUGAAUUUUGGCCCUUGUCCAGAUGGAGGACUUGGCUUCUUCAGUGAGGAUAAUUCAAUACUACACUUUGAUUCAAUAGAGUGCGAGCUUCAUUCGGGUUUAAGUGCGUUGCUGCUGGUCGCCUCUUGUGAUUGUGUACAGCUUGCUUCUGACAUAGCCAAGAUUAAAGGAGAGGGGAGUCAUUGCUGAUGGCUUGGAACUUUUUGGUGCAUCAUGCUAUGCGACUAAGGUCACCCUGACAGACACUUGGUGAGAUGUUUGAAGCUGCUCAUAGUAUCAUGACCUAGCUUGGAGACUGUGCCAAGGCUGAAGUUUUCUUUCUUGGGCAACUAAGGCAGAAGAACCUGGUGAAAUUGGUUGGGUAGUGCUACGAGCAUGAACACCGGAUGUUGGUGUACAAAUUCAUGAGCGUUGGGAGCCUUGAGACGCACCUCUUCAAAACUUCUUGGUACUUGUAAGUUAGUACAACUCUUGGUCAAUGUGGAUGAGGAAACUGACCUGAAACAUCCUAUUUCCUUCACGUAUAAAUGGCUCCCUCCUGCGGAUGAUAAGGAUGAAGAUCGCCGUCAGCCCAAGGGCCUUAACUUUCUCCAUGACGCCAACCUGCCGGUGAUCUACAAGCAGGCCUUCAACAUCUACUGGACUAGGGUCAGUUUGAGCCUUCACGAGCUCGACAUCGGAGCCAGCACUCUACAUGCUUAUCGACGCGGUGGCCAUCGAGGUCAAACUUGUCCGGAAAUACUUGUCGGAGUAAUGGAUGUAUCUAUACGCAUUUUAGUUUUAGACACAUCCAUUUUUAUGCAUUUCUUCGACAUGUACUGUGAUUUGUGAAGACGUGCGUUGCACGUACACGCUAACUAGUCAAUGUAAGUAGCAUGGCGACAACUUUUCCCUCCAAAAAUAUUUGGAAUGAAAUCGAACUAUAGUCUGAAUCAAA
Long non-coding RNA from Triticum dicoccoides, 3341 nucleotides. RefSeq lists it as uncharacterized. The transcript is spliced from 8 exons. The record is from RefSeq and is a predicted model, not a curated record. NCBI's taxonomy places the organism in Eukaryota, Viridiplantae, Streptophyta, Magnoliopsida, Poales, Poaceae.